RNAcentral lists this ribosomal RNA (376 nucleotides) under uncultured bacterium. RNAcentral's name for it is "bacterial SSU rRNA". It matches the Rfam family "Bacterial small subunit ribosomal RNA", at positions 524 to 898 of the family's 1533-position model. The record is from RNAcentral.
UACGUAGGUGGCAAGCGUUGUCCGGAUUUAUUGGGCGUAAAGCGAGCGCAGGCGGUCUUUUAAGUCUGAUGUGAAAGCCCCCGGCUUAACCGGGGAGGGUCAUUGGAAACUGUUUGACUUGAGUGCAGAAGAGGAAAGCGGAAUUCCAUGUGUAGCGGUGAAAUGCGUAGAUAUAUGGAGGAACACCAGUGGCGAAGGCGGCUUUCUGGUCUGUAACUGACGCUGAGGCUCGAAAGCGUGGGGAGCAAACAGGAUUAGAUACCCUGGUAGUCAACGCCGGAAACGAUGAGUGCUAAGUGUUGGAGGGUUUCCGCACUUCAGUGCUGCAGCAAACGCAUUAAGCACUCCGCCUGGGGAGUACGACCGCAAGGUUGAA